RNAcentral lists this unclassified non-coding RNA (391 nucleotides) under soil metagenome. RNAcentral describes it as "partial contains 5.8S ribosomal RNA, internal transcribed spacer 2, and large subunit ribosomal RNA". The stretch from base 1 to 122 matches the Rfam family "5.8S ribosomal RNA", at positions 35 to 154 of the family's 154-position model. The record is from RNAcentral.
GAUGAAGAACGCAGCGAAAUGCGAUACUUGGUGUGAAUUGCAGAAUCCCGUGAACCAUCGAGUCUUUGAACGCAAGUUGCGCCCGAAGCCACUAGGCCGAGGGCACGCCUGCCUGGGCGUCACACGCCGUUGCCCCCCCAUCUACUCCUUCGGGAUUGCGGGGGGGCGGAUGAUGGCCUCCCGUGCGCCUAGCCGCGCGGUUGGCAUAAAUACCAAGUCCUCGGCGACGCACGCCACGACAAUCGGUUGUUGCGAAACCUCGGUUGCCCGUCGUGUGCGUUCGUCGCGCAUCGAGGGCUCGAAAAAAUGCUCGGCUCCGGCUGGGCUUUCAACGCGACCCCAGGUCAGGCGGGGUUACCCGCUGAAUUUAAGCAUAUCAAUAAGCGGAGGA